Non-coding RNA from Sus scrofa (pig), 1524 nucleotides. NCBI's taxonomy places the organism in Eukaryota, Metazoa, Chordata, Mammalia, Artiodactyla, Suidae. The record is from RefSeq and is a predicted model, not a curated record.
CACAGUGGGAACUCCAAUUUGCUACUACUUUUAUUCUGAUUAUUUUCUUUUUUAGCAUUUUAAUUCCUAUUUUAUAAAUUCAUUAUUAUCUUGUAUCUGUGAAAGCACUAAAAUUUUGUUGAAGUUUUCCUUUUUACCCUGCAUUGCCAACUUUCCUCCUUUUUUGUGUUCUUCUUUGUUGGUUUGUUUUUCUUCAUAUUUGUCAGACUUUCUUCUGCAAUGGAUUUUUUUUUUUUUAAUGUUUCAUAUUAAAUCUCCAAAGCCAGGUGGAAGCUCUGUAUCUGGACAGGAUCUGUUGAUAGAUGGGCUUUACCUUGGACCAAUUAGAGAAUUAGCCCUUAUUUGAGAGGAUAUUGUUUUGGAAGCCCUUUUUCUAGAGAAGAAACCUCUUCUCUCCAGGUUGGCUCAUUGUUGCUGGCAUUCCACUGAGUGGCUGUAAUCAACUUUUUCUUAUCCAGUGGCUGCAUAGUAGUCUCAGCAGUAUUUGACUCAUGGGAAUUCAGCCAGACAUUUACUUAUGCUAAGUAGGCAGCACCACGUAAGUAUUAGCAGGCAACAGGGAACCUAUUUGAGCACUCUGAAAAGGAAGCAGUAGCAGAUAAAUUGGGAAAGAAGACCAGUAUUCAAAGGACCACCAAACGAGUGUGGAACUUGCAGGAGCCAGGAUUCUGAGGGAGAACCUUCGUCUGUGUUUGGUGGAGUUGUGGUCCCAAGAGGAUGAGGCCUAUCUCGUUUUUUCUCCCUCUCUGUCCUCUGGGUGGACCCAGGUACAGUUGCAGAAGUGCCGGGCAAAGUAGGAUAACCAGAGCCCCAGGUUUCUGACUGGAAGACUGAAAAGAAGAGCCCCAGGAACCCGAAAGCACUAGGAAGAUGGCAGAGAGGGAGGAGCUCAGGAAAAUGACUCCGUAAAAGCUGUUUAUUAUCCCCUAGGCUGAUUCCUAAGCUACAGACAUGCAUAGAUCUACUCCUCAACAGCUCAGCAAAGACUUUUGGAUAGAACAAUCACCAUCCAGGUCCCAGAUUGGCCACUGGGGAGCACACAUGUGGGACAGGUGCAUAUAACACUGCAAAGGCUUUAAAAACAACUAAUAUUGGAACCACAGCUCACAGAGGACAAGGUACAGAUUGCAGCCUGAAUCUAACUAGGUCAGUUAUCUGCUAGAACAGAAUUGUCGACGUUCAUCAUGGAUUUAAACAAGGCCUAGAAUUCAUAGUAUUCAAAACGAAUACGAUACAAAAUUACUUGGCAUUUGAAGAACGAGGAAAAUAUCUCUCAUGAGAAAAGACAGCGGACAUCAGUGCCAAGAUGACACAGAUGUUGUAGUUACCUAACAAAGAAUGUAAAACAUGUAUUUAGGAAGUGCUCCAACAGGGAAUCACAGGUACUCUUAAAAUUACUAGAAAAAUAGUUUCAGCAAAGAAAUAGAAGAUACAAAAAAGAAUCAGAUGGAAAAGUUAGAAUGGAACUAUAGUAACCUAAGUAAUACCUCAGUGGAUGAACUUGAUUUUAAAAUGAGGAUGACA